Molecule: long non-coding RNA, 1043 nt
Organism: Rosa rugosa (rugosa rose)
Lineage: Eukaryota; Viridiplantae; Streptophyta; Magnoliopsida; Rosales; Rosaceae
Exons: 8
Source: RefSeq, a predicted model, not a curated record
CAGUGCAAGUUGAACCAAAAUUUCAUGAGGGUGCGAGUAAUUUAGAAGAAUUGGUUCCUUUUGAGGAGUGUAUUGAGUUAUAUUCCACUGACAACGCAGUUGUGAGAGCUCCUGAGUUUCUCCUUCUUACUCAUAAUGGCCGUAGCUUCAACAUAGUUGUAAAUCCUACCAACCUUAGUGAAGGUCUGCACUAUUAUGAACUAUAUGGUGUUGAUUGCAAAGCACCUUGGCGCGGCCCUCUUUUCAGAAUCCCAAUUACUAUAACAAAGCCAAUCACUGUCAUAAGUCGACCUCCACUAUAUUCAUUUUCGAAAUUGUCUUUUUUGCCAGGCCACAUAGAAAGGAGAUUUAUUGAAGUACCUCUUGGUGCCACAUGGGUUGAAGCAACCAUGCAAACAUCAGGAUUUGAUACAACACGAAGAUUUUUUGUUGACUCUGUUCAGCUUUGUCCCUUACAAAGACCUCGUAAGUGGGAGAGUGUUGUAACAUUCUCUUCACCUGCUGCCAAAAGCUUUUCAUUUCCUGUUGUGGGUGGUCAGACAAUGGAAUUAGCUAUAGCUCAGUUUUGGUGAAGUGGCAUAGGAAGCAACGAAACAACUUGUGUGGAUUUUGAGAUUGUGUUUCAUGGGAUUAAUGUUAAUAAAGAGGAACUAGUGCUUGAUGGAAGUGAGGCACCAGUAAGAAUUGAAGCUGAAGCUCUACUAGCAUCCGAGAAACUUGCACCUGCUGCUACUCUAAGUAGGAUCAGAAUUCCAUAUCGACCAGUUGCUGCUGAACUUUGUUCUCUUCCAACAGAUCGUGACAAACUACCCUCAGAAAAACGUAUUUUGGCGCUGACAUUAACUUACAAGUUCAAAUUGGAAGAUGGAGCUGAAGUAAAACCUCAAGUUCCAUUACUUAACAAUCGCAUAUAUGAUACUAAAUUUGAGUCUCAGUUUUAUAUGAUCUCUGAUGCAAACAAGCGUGUAUAUGCAACGGGUGAAGCUUAUCCAAGCUCUUCAAAACUGCCCAAAGGCGAAUACACUUUACAGCUAUAUCUUAGG